Molecule: long non-coding RNA, 630 nt
Organism: Mauremys reevesii (Reeves's turtle)
Lineage: Eukaryota; Metazoa; Chordata; Testudines; Geoemydidae
Exons: 4
Source: RefSeq, a predicted model, not a curated record
GUCAACAAUACAUCUUACAUAGCCUGCCGGCAUUGUUCUUUACCUUGAUUUCUUUUGCUUUGUGUUAAGGAUGCACCCCACCUGAGAAGGAUUAUUAAAAUCAAAAUAGAACUCGUUUUGAUCUCUCCAGUCCAACUAUGGUUGGUAAAUCUUGUCCAGGCUUGCCACAAUAUAAGGAGAUGAUGCUUUCCAUGAUUUUCCCUGGUACAGAUGUUGAAAACAAUCGUUGGCACCGCUUCAUUUCACAGGACUCAAAUAGCCAUCUACUGAAAUAACUCACUAACUAAACAGUAUUUACUGGCUUAUAAUAAGUAUUUGGAAAUAUCCAGCAACUCACACCAGGGGAAGCCAGAAGUCAUGCUGCUGACAGAUCCAAGGAACACCUCGAAGAAGUCUAAAAUGGUUUGCCAAGCACAUUACUGAAAAUAAACAUCCCGGGAAGGAAAAAAGAUGAAGUAAACAUGGUACAAAAAUAAAAGGCCAAUAAAAAGGUUUGCCAAUCUUCCCUGGGGCACGAGAUGCGUCCUUCAAUGGUAGGAGUAAAACUAACAUUUUAAAGCAAUGUGAAUAAUCGAAGCCAUCAAAAGGUGGCUACUUUAAUUUACAGCGUUACUGUAUUUAUUUAUUUCA